This 495-nucleotide ribosomal RNA is filed under the name uncultured bacterium. RNAcentral describes it as "bacterial SSU rRNA". It matches the Rfam family "Bacterial small subunit ribosomal RNA", at positions 40 to 518 of the family's 1533-position model. The record is from RNAcentral.
CGGCGUGCCUAACACAUGCAAGUCGAACGGAGAUUAACGCUGAUGAAGCUUCGGCAGAUUCUUGUUAAAUCUUAGUGGCGGACGGGUGAGGUAACGCGUGGGCAACCUGCCUCAUACUGGGGGAGUAACAGCUGGAAACGACUGUUAAUACCGCAUAAGCGCACAGCAUCGCAUGAUGCAGUGUGAAAAACUCCGGUGGUAUGAGAUGGGCCCGCGUCAGAUUAGCCAGUUGGCAGGGUAACGGCCUACCAAAGCGACGAUCUGUAGCCGGCCUGAGAGGGCGGACGGCCACAUUGGGACUGAGACACGGCCCAAACUCCUACGGGAGGCAGCAGUGGGGGAUAUUGCACAAUGGAGGAAACUCUGAUGCAGCGACGCCGCGUGAGUGAAGAAGUAUUUCGGUAUGUAAAGCUCUAUCAGCAGGGAAGAAAGAUUCGUAAGAGAGAUGACGGUACCUGACUAAGAAGCCCCGGCUAACUACGUGCCAGCCGCGGC